AUGUUUUUGUUUUUUUCUUCCGUAAGAGGCACGAUUAUGCUUUUCGGGAGUGGCAUGACCUCUCAGAAAUGGAAAAAGAAUGCGUUUUUUGUUUGUUUUUCACGAGAGGCAUGGUUUUGCUCCUGCGAGAGGCACAGUCGACAGUCAUGCUCUUGCGGAAAGGAAAAAAAAUCAGGCUCCCGGUUUGAUUUUUUUGUAAAAAAAAUUUCGUUAAAAUCUAUCAACACGGGAUCUAGUUUUGAAGAUCUCGACGUGAGGAAUUCAACGGUAAAAACAGUUCAAGAUUUGGAUGCAUGGUUAAAAGAUAAAAUGUUUUGA
This 318-nucleotide ribosomal RNA is filed under the name Triticum aestivum (bread wheat). Its description in RNAcentral is "partial small subunit ribosomal RNA". Lineage: Eukaryota; Viridiplantae; Streptophyta; Magnoliopsida; Poales; Poaceae. The record is from RNAcentral.